UACGAAGGGGACUAGCGUUGUUCGGAAUCACUGGGCGUAAAGCGCGCGCAGGCGGCUAUCCAAGUCAGUGGUGAAAGCCCGGAGCUCAACUCCGGAACUGCCAUUGAAACUGUUUAGCUUGAGGCCGGGAGGGGUAGCGGAAUUCCCAGUGUAGCGGUGAAAUGCGUAGAUACUGGGAGGAACACCAGUGGCGAAGGCGGCUACCUGGACCGGUUCUGACGCUGAGGCGCGAAAGCGUGGGUAGCAAACAGG
Molecule: ribosomal RNA, 252 nt
Filed under: uncultured bacterium
Lineage: Bacteria
Description: partial 16S ribosomal RNA
Rfam family: Bacterial small subunit ribosomal RNA
Source: RNAcentral